This 69-nucleotide transfer RNA is filed under the name Homo sapiens (human). Its description in RNAcentral is "tRNA-Glu-TTC-13-1". The record is from RNAcentral. Lineage: Eukaryota; Metazoa; Chordata; Mammalia; Primates; Hominidae.
GCCUGUGGUCUAGUGGUUAGAAUUCAGUGUUUUCAGUGCUCUAGUCCAGGUUCAAUUCCUGGUCAGGGA